AACGAACGCUGGCGGCAUGCCUAACACAUGCCAGUCGAACGAGACCUUCGGGUCUAGUGGCGCACGGGUGCGUAACGCGUGGGAACCUUCCCUUAGGUUCGGAAUAACUCCCCGAAAGGGGUGCUAAUACCGGAUAAUGUCUUCGGACCAAAGAUUUAUCGCCUUUGGAUGGGCCCGCGUUGGAUUAGCUAGUUGGUAGGGUAAAAGCCUACCAAGGCGACGAUCCAUAGCUGGUCUGAGAGGAUGAUCAGCCACACUGGGACUGGGACACGGCCCAGACUCCUACGGGAGGCAGCAGUGGGGAAUAUUGGACAAUGGGCGAAAGCCUGAUCCAGCAAGGCCGCGUGAGUGAUGAAGGCCUUAGGGUUGUAAAGCUCUUUUACCCGGGAUGAUCAUGACAGUACCGGGAGAAUAAGCCCCGGCUAACUCCGUG
Molecule: ribosomal RNA, 433 nt
Filed under: uncultured bacterium
Lineage: Bacteria
Description: partial 16S ribosomal RNA
Rfam family: Bacterial small subunit ribosomal RNA
Source: RNAcentral